AAGCUUAGUGCCUUCCUCACAGCUGUGGUUUUUCAAGUAAGAACUAGCUUCCUGAUUUCACCUUCUUCCCUCUUGUGAUCUGAUUCUCUUUGUGAGUAAGGGCUUCAUCGCUCUUCCUUCUUAUAUGACUGCAAGAUUUUUCACUGUAGCCAACAGAUGGCACAAGACAUCCUGUGAGCUUCUCCCUGACCAUGUAUCAGAUGGCCUCAGCCAAAGGUGGGGUGAAGUGGUGGAGAUUCUCCAGCACGCUUGGCAGCCCAGCUUGGAGAUUGCUGUUUGCAAGAGAAGGGAAUGUGCCAGCUUUCACAGAUCUGUACUUGCAGGAGGAGACCUAGACCUGUGAGGCAGCACCCUGCCAUCCGGCUCCUGGCUGGCACCCAGACCCUUUCUCAAGCUCCAUCAAUGCAAUGAAAUAUUUUCUGCCCAGAAAAGUCAUUCCAGAUUUGUAUACAAAAGUAACCAGAGUAUCAACUGGCAAUUAUGAGGUGAAUGUUUUAAGUAAAUUUAUUGGGUUUGCACAGUCUGGUUUUGGUAGCAGAGAGGCUACAGAGAUGUCUUCUAUGAGAAACUGCUGGAAGCUUCUUCCAUGUGCCUGGAAAAUCCCUGGUGGCUCCAAAGAUGGACAUGCUGCUUGUAUAAUUAGAAAUGAUGGUAACACUUCUGUGAUAACAUAUUUAAGAAGAAUUCAAAACCAAAAGGGAUUGCAGAGUUGUAAUUUUGACUAGAGAAGAGCAGAGAGAGAACAUGUGGGAAGAACAACUCUGCAGACACCAUGGUCAGUGAAGAAGGAGGGGCAGGAGCUGCUCCAGGCACCGGAGCUGAGAUUCCUCUGCAGGCUGUGGUGCAGCCCAUGGUGAUGCAGCUGUGCCCCUGCAGCCCAUGGGGAUCCAUGGGGGAUGCAGAGAUCCACCCACAGCCCAUGGAGGGGCCCAUGCUGGAGCAGGUGGAUGGCUGGAGGAGGCUGUGAUCCUGUGGGAGACCUGUGUAGAGAGGGGCCCUGCCCCCAGGCUGGAGCAGCCUGUCCUUGGAGCACUGCACCCUGUGGGAAGAGGGACCCACACUGCAGCAGUUUGAGGGGGACUGGUGCCCAUGAGAUGGACUCACAUUACAGCAGUUCACAGGGAGUUGUUUCUCCUGAGAUGGAACCAUGUUGGAGAAGUUGAUGGAAAACUGUCUCCUAUGGGAGAGUCCCCAUUGUGCAACAGGGGAACAACUCCUCUUCCUGAGCAAUGGGAGAAGCCUUGGGUGAUGAACCGAUCAAAAUCAAAAUAUUUAGGUCAAUUUCCUUUUAUGGAACAGUUUUCUUUAAAAAAAGUUUUCCUUAAAAAUUGUUUUUCUCCUCAUGCACAAAGUGAAAUUACACACAUUUAUGAAUAAUAAUAAUGUCUUACAUUUUACCAUCACUUAUCAGGAAAUACUAAUUAAUCAACGAAACAGCAACUACUCAUUCUGUUUUGCAUUAUUAUGGUGUUGGCAUGCAGCUGACAGCUAACUGGAGAGAUGGACAGAAUAUUUAAAUAUCAAAUACAUUUCUUCAGCCUAGUUGCUGAAGAACUUUUUCAGAAAAGUUGCUCUGCAAUAAUGAAAUGAUUGCCAGAUAAAUUUGCUGAAAAUUUGUCAGGCAGCAAGUAGUGUAUUUGGAGUCAGUAUAAUCAAAUACCUACACAAUGUUAACACAGAAUCAUGAAGUCACAGAAGCUCUACAAAUCAAAAUUUAUUCCAGUGCAUAAUUUUUUGGAAAAAUCUUGUUGCACAAAUGUAUUUGCCACAGUACUGGAAAUAGAGUAAGGCAUUGUGCAUCAAAUUAUUAUCAGGAAAUCUGGGUGUUUUCCAGUUUUCUUUGGAAUUUACUUUAUUUUUGUUGUUAUUGUUUUUGUUUUUGCAAAAACCCCAAAAUACAUGUGGAAGAAUUCACGAGGCAGACUGGAAAGAUAAAAUGAGAUGAGCAAAACAGAAGACUAAAAUAAAGGAAAAGGGGAAGUAUGGCUUAAUGGUGGCAAUGUUUGAUGGUCAUCAUACCAUGGUUGAUGGUUGGACUUGAUGAUCUCAAAGGUCUUUUUCAAUCCUGAUGAUGAUACAAUUUUGUAAGACAGGAAUACAUGAUCUGAGCUUUACAAUGAAAGUGAAGGGCAAAAGUACAAAAAGUAAUUAUAUGUGCUAACAGAAGGCAAAAUAGUAGUGUGGUAAAUCUGUACUCCUACUGCCCAAGGAUACAUUUUUCCUCUUUUUAUCUUGUCGGUUAAAUCAAUAAGAAAUUGUUUUCCAAACUUUGCAUUUUAUUUUAUGUUGUCCAGUCAUUACAUCCUGCAGAGAUGAAAAAUAUUAUCACUGUUCAGAAAGGGUACCAGUUGCUCCUUUGGCCAGAAUAUAACUAACAAAAAGAAACCUGAAGACUGGUUUUCAAUACUUUUUUUUUUUUCUUUAACAAUAAAAUGACAGUGCUUUAGCCUUCUCCUUUGAAAGAAGAUGUUGGAAAGUAUUGUUAUUAACUGUCUCUCCCUAUUCUACUCAGCCACAUUUUCACAUGUUUUCUUAAGACUUCUGUCCACUUGGAUUGGAAUAGCAUUGGACAGUAAUGUAAAAAGUCAAUAGGAGGAGGUGAGAAAGAGGGGUGUAGAAGCAAAGAGGCAUAAUGAUCCAAUAUGUCCAGUUGUCUCCAGGAAAAUCCCCUAAAAUAACGGAGCAAUAAAAAUAGUGGAGCAGUAUUUAAAUUUUUCCUAUCCACAUAAGCCUUCUUGCUCUACUUUGUAGAGAAAUGUAGAGGCCAAAAACUAUUGCAUAGCUACAUUUGUCUGUAAAGAUCACAAGACUCUUUCCUCUCUCUGCACAAAGUGCAAAGAUCCUUUCACAUGAAGUGAGCACAUGCUCUGUUUCCAUAUGUCUUGUCAUCUUCCUUUAUGGUCCAGGACAUCAGAGCACACGCAAUGCAGAGCAUGAAUUCAUAGCAAGAACACUUUGCUUCUUUUUCAAUUUCUUACUGGCUUAGAGAGAUAACAGAAGUUUCCCCUAACAAGAAGAUCAGCUGAAAAAAUAAAUUAGACAAUUAGCUCAAAGUAGCUCAUCAUAUUUGCUGUGUAUUCUAGUUUGUUGGUUUUCUUCCCUUCCGUAGCCAAUACCUUUUGUCUUAUAUAACAAGCUAUAAUUAUUAGACUAACGUCACUCAAAAGUCUGACUCAGCUAUUAAUAAUGCUAAAGAUAAAGGAGCACUUACUGCUGGGUUUUGAGUUAUUUUGUUCCCACUGAGUCAGGAGUUCUUUGCCAAGAGCUUUUGAAAUCUUCCACUUUGCCAUUUGAACUUGUGCCUUUUUCACAAUAGUAAGCAGCACAUUCAGACCCUCAGUAUGUACACCCACACACCAUGUCCUGCUCAUACAUCAAUUUACAUUUACUUUGUUAUUCUGCCAGCCUUUCUUAAUUCUACCAGUCAUCCUUCCUUUUUGCAAUUCAAAUGAGUCAUGGAAUCCUUCAACCUGUUGUAGCAUAAGAAGUUUUCCUACAUUCUUGUUGACAAUGGUUUCCUGAGAGCCUCAAUACAAGCAGUGACUUAAGGUGUUUUCUAAAUAAGGUCUUGAAAAUUAUUUCUGUAAAUAUGACUUCAUUUAGCAGCUGAAGUACCCUAGCUCUAUACUAUAUUCCCCAACAAUAUUUUUUGGGAAUUUUAGCUCCUACCUCAAUUGAUAAAAUAUGGCAUAACCUAUUUCAGGUCUGGGAGAAAUGCUCUUCAACUGUGGUCCCUUAGACUGUAAAGCUCUGUAUUUGGUCUGGCUGAGAUGGAGUUAAUUUUGUCACAGCAGUCCUCACAGUGACAUGUUUUGCAUUAUUAGCUGGAAAGGUGUUGACAACAGAGCGCCUUGGUCGCUGCUGGGCAGUGCUGGCAUAGCACCAGCCUCUCUUUUCACCAUUAGGCUGGGAUGAGCAAGAUCUUGGGAGGGGACAGAGCCAGGACAGCUGACCCAAACGAGCUGAAAGAAUAUUUCAUAUCAUGUCUGGUCAGCAAUACAGUAAUACAAACUAAGGGAAAGGAGGAUAAAGUGCGGGGUGGGGGGAGAAGAUUUGUUGUUAUGAUGUUUAUCUUCCAGAGCAAUUGCACAUAUAGAAGCUUUACUUUCCAAGAGGUGGCUGGACAUUACCUGCUGAUAGGAAGAAGAGAAUAAAUCUAUUGUUUUCCUCUGCUUCCACAUGCAGCCAUUGUUUUUACUUUAUUAAACUGCCUUAUUCUUCA
Molecule: long non-coding RNA, 4222 nt
Organism: Serinus canaria (Common canary)
Lineage: Eukaryota; Metazoa; Chordata; Aves; Passeriformes; Fringillidae
Exons: 3
Source: RefSeq, a predicted model, not a curated record